AACAGGACCGUCAUUCUGCAUAGUGAUCACGUCUUUCAGAGUCAGUGAAGACUAGGGCAUGUGCAUGUCCGUAGGAAUCGGAAUUGCUGGAUUGGAAUUUGCCACCCCUGGCUGUGUGACCUUGGGCAAGGUAUCAAUUCCGUUGUCAACCCUUCCACGUGGCUUGUCACCCAGCCCUGUCCUACCCACACACCCGUAAGAGGACAGAAGUAUACUGCUCAGAUCCUAAAACAUGUACAAAGGUUGCCAAAAGCAGCUCAGAUUGAAGACAAAUUGUG
Molecule: long non-coding RNA, 278 nt
Organism: Myotis lucifugus (little brown bat)
Lineage: Eukaryota; Metazoa; Chordata; Mammalia; Chiroptera; Vespertilionidae
Exons: 3
Source: RefSeq, a predicted model, not a curated record